GACGAACGCUGGCGGCGUGCUUAACACAUGCAAGUCGAGCGGUAAGGCCCUUUCGGGGGUACGACGAGCGGCGAACGGGUGAGUAACACGUGGGUGACCUGCCCUCAGCUCUGGGAUAAGCCUGGGAAACCGGGUCUAAUACUGGAUAUGACUCCAUGACGCAUGUUGUGGGGUGGAAAGCCUUGUGCGGCUGAGGAUGGGCCUGCGGCCUAUCAGCUUGUUGGUGGGGGAUGGCCUACCAAGGCGACGACGGGUAGCCGGCCUGAGAGGGCGACCGGCCACACUGGGACUGAGACACGGCCCAGACUCCUACGGGAGGCAGCAGUGGGGAAUCUUGCGCAAUGGGCGAAAGCCUGACGCAGCGACGCCGCGUGGGGA
Molecule: ribosomal RNA, 378 nt
Filed under: uncultured bacterium
Lineage: Bacteria
Description: bacterial SSU rRNA
Rfam family: Bacterial small subunit ribosomal RNA
Source: RNAcentral